GAUGAACGCUGGCGGCGUGCCUAAUACAUGCAAGUCGAGCGAAUGGAUUAAGAGCUUGCUCUUAUGAAGUUAGCGGCGGACGGGUGAGUAACACGUGGGUAACCUGCCCAUAAGACUGGGAUAACUCCGGGAAACCGGGGCUAAUACCGGAUAACAUUUUGAACCGCAUGGUUCGAAAUUGAAAGGCGGCUUCGGCUGUCGCUUAUGGAUGGACCCGCGUCGCAUUAGCUAGUUGGUGAGGUAACGGCUCACCAAGGCAACGAUGCGUAGCCGACCUCGGAGUGUAAUCGGCCACACUGGUACUGAGACACGGCCCAGACUCCUACGGGAGGCAGCAGUAGGGAAUCUUCCGCAAUGGACGAAAGUCUGACGUAGCAACGCCGCGUGAGUGAUGAAGGCUUGCGGGUCGUAAAACUCUGUUGUUAGGGAAGAACAAGUGCUAGUUGAAUAAGCUGGCACCUUGACGGUACCUAACCAGAAAGCCACGGCUAACUACGUGCCAGCCGCCGCUGUAA
Molecule: ribosomal RNA, 515 nt
Filed under: uncultured bacterium
Lineage: Bacteria
Description: partial 16S ribosomal RNA
Rfam family: Bacterial small subunit ribosomal RNA
Source: RNAcentral